CACAGGAUGAAAACAUUGCUCUGUUUUUCUUUCAUUCCUGCAGGAGUGGUGGGAACACAACUGGGAGAGGUUUCUGGUAGGCAACAGCUCCAGAUGAUAGCACUGAACCAAGCCAGGCGAUUGUGCCCUCCCAGGCACUGCUCCAGGCGAUCUCUGCAUUCCUGCUGGCCACUGCUUUGCCAGAGAAGAGCUAACAGGAGGUUCAAGAGGCAGAUGCAAGAACUGUGGUGUGGGCACCUGCAGUGCCACUACAGCAGCCCAAAGAGCACUGCAGCAGGGCAGGGCAUGGAGGAGCAGGCUGAUUUCUGCUGGAGAGAGCAGCCUGGCAGGGAAGCAGUGCCUAACUGAGAUAAGUGGCUUUUAUUCAUUCUGUUUCUGAGUCUCUACUAUCUUUAAUGCUUGUUGAAAUAAAGGUUUUGGAAGCAAAGUCUUCCCUGAUGGUGUAACUUUCUCGUCUUUUGGUUAAAUUCUAAGGAUGUUUCUGCUCCUCAUUUUUCAGGUGCCCAGGAAAGAGGGAGGAAGGCAAGAUUUACUAUUCCCAUAACACCUAAAUAUAAACUGUAAUCAGAUUUAUAAACAACAUCUACAGACUUCUUUCAUAAGCUAUAAAAAGCUUUGCAAAGUACAUCUGUGCACUUCGGUUUCCUUUUCAUAGUCUUUCACCUUUGCUUCUAUUUCCCUAAAUAGAAAGAUAAUAGUAUUAAUCUAUUCCUUGGGGCUUUUGUGAAGAUUCACAAUUAAUAUUUAUGCAGUAAAAUGAAGUAAAUGCUGCAUAAGUGCUGAGCAUCAUUAUUGUUCUCUUUCUCUCUUCAUUAGCACACCAUGUACGUGCCAAGUAGAACAGAUAAACACAGAAAUUAGCUGCCCUCAAAGCCAGGCAAGUGAGAAAGGUAACAUGAGUGCUAGAGGGCCAUUAAUUAAAAAUGUUUGCUGUGGGUGACAUCUGUGGCAAACAAAACAACCCUCUGAGAUUUAAAGAAUUAAAUAUGUUUCUUUACACAUUUGAGCAAGUUCUGUCUGCAGCAAAGAAGUUCUGGGAAUAUUUUCAAAUUAAAUAUGCAGCAUACACUCCCACAGCAGCUGCAUCUUAAACAGGAAUCCACCUGAAGCACCAAGUAGGUUUUGCAUUGUAAAACCUGGAAACCUCAGUGAUUCUUUCCAGAUGUCAUUUAUUUCCUUUGCUUAUUACUACAUGUGUGUUUUCCAAAGCACAACUCACAUGGAACUGCCUUCACCUUUGCAACUACUACAGUAGCCAAUCUCCAUUUCUACAGGUUUUUGAUGCAGGAAUUUGGAUUAGUCCCAACAUGAUCAGGACUUUUCAUUUGUCCAUCUCAGCCAUGCUGGCCUGCAGAGCUGAGGUGGCCAUGCCCUUCAGAGCAGGAAGGUUCUGCACAGAUAACUUCAAAGAUUUUCUCUCUAGGAGUAUCUGGGUAUCUGAUGGAAUCUAAUUAACCCUAACACAGACAGCUAUUUAAAAAGUAGUGAACAAUUUCAUGCUCUCAGCAUUUGUACUUGUAUAUGUAGGAAUAUCCUAAAGGAAAAGGAGAAAGUUUCAUUGUGAAUGCUGUCCACUAAUUUGCUUGAUAUUUUCCUUUCAAGAGGAAUAAUGUCCAAUGAGAAGCAGUGGAAACUGCAAAUGGUGUGUAAGAACAAGUGUAAUAUGCAGCUGUAAAUUAAAAUGCCCAUUUGUAAUGGGUAAGAGCUAGUAAAAGAAACUCAGCGAAGCAGGACAGCUUUGCUCUUAUCAAAAUCAGAGCAGAAUCUGCCUGUCAGAAAACAAAAUAUUUCUUGCUCAAGCAGAUCAUUAUGCUGCUUUUUACACGCUUUGCAUUUCCUAACCACUCCUUAAAGCUCUGCUCUGUGACAAUCCAUAGCAAUCCUUAACUAGAACUGCAGACUGCAAGAGAUCUCUACCAAUUAACACCAAAUAGUAAUGAAGGAGAAAAACCAUUUUAAAAAUGAGAGACUAAUUGUAGCAGCAAUUGUUAAGUGCAGUUGCCUUGCAGGACUCUCAGAGGAAUCCAGAAUGGAAAGCCUUGUGUUACAGCCCCCACCUGAUGCUGGGGGAGACACUGCCUUUAACCCAUUUUUGCUGUGUUCUACCUAUUUUGCUUGUACAGCAGGGUUUGGGUUGGGAGGAAUGGAUUGGGUGGGGAGUUAUGGUUGAUGUAGACUUAAAACUAGGUUAGUUCAUAUUUAAUUUUUUUUUUUUAAAUUGUGAAUAUUCCACCUUAUAGGAGCACAGAAGGUGAUUGGUGCUAGAAGCCCCACAGUUGUGAUGAGAAGGAGGGAGGACUUAAGUGCCAUGGCUGGUGCAAGCCUAAUGCCAAAAGAAGGGGAUAAGACAAGGGGACCUGAAAGAGACUGGGAGCAGGAAAGUGUAAUGAAGUUACUGCAUGGACAGGAUUAAAUGACUAAAAGUCAUAAAAGUCACAGAAAUCAUGCUAAAGAAACUGGAAUUGUGAACUUGGCUCCUAAGCUUCCUAAUGUCCUUACCUAUCCCAGUAUCACUGAUAUGCUCAUUUGCAUAAAAGGAUGCUUUAUUUUAUAACAGCAAAUUAUUUGUCAGCUGGCCUCUGCAUCUGCUCCUUGGCAAUUUAGAUUAAUGGCAUUAAUGGCUUUUCUUUAAAGAAAUUGUUGCAGCUUUCCCUUGGUGCCAAAAGAAGGAUGUCUAUUGUUCUUCAUGCUAUAAUUUUUAAAAGCCUAAGAUGUUUUUUGAUUUGCUUAAACUGAGAAUAUGAGUAGCAAAAGAGAAUUAAAUUUGCAUUGCAUAAAAUAAAGAUGAAAGCGCUUUGAUGGAGUCUUGAUAUACACUUAGGAAGCAUUUUUAAAAUACCCAUAUUCCCAAAAUGUACAUAGACACAUUGAGAAUCAGUUGCUUGUUCAAAGGCUAAUUUAUUAUAAUUUAUACUGUUUGGCUACUGAAACAAUCUGUUUUCUUCUUCCUGUAAGGUUUUAGAUAAUCUGAAAGGAUCAAAGUGAGAUGUUUGUUCCAAUGGAUGUAGCUAUCCACUAUCAGAAGCUUUUUUGUGCUUCUGGAUAAGAAUUUUAUGCCCAACAAUAAAGAUGGUCCCAUAUUUAG
This is a non-coding RNA of Zonotrichia albicollis (white-throated sparrow), 3085 nucleotides long. The record is from RefSeq and is a predicted model, not a curated record. Lineage: Eukaryota; Metazoa; Chordata; Aves; Passeriformes; Passerellidae.